UCAAGCGAACAAGGGCGCAGGGCGAAUGCCUUGGCACUGGGAGCCGAUGAAAGACGUGAUAAGCUGCGAUAAGCUUCGGGGAGCUGCAAAUAAGCAUUGAUCCGGAGAUUUCUGAAUGAGGAAACUCACCUGGGUUCAUACUCAGGUACGUUAUACUGAACUUCAAAAUAGGUAUAUCGAGGGAACCGCCUGAACUGAAACAUCUAAGUAGGGCGAGGAAGAGACAUCAAACGAGAUUCCGUAAGUAGUGGCGAGCGAACGCGGAAGAGGGCAAACCGAGAGUAGAAAUACUUUCGGGGUACGGACUGCUUUUAGGACUUAAUCUGUUAACCGAACGGCAUGGGAAGGCCGGUCAGAGAGUGUGAGAACCACGUAGGUGAAAACGGAGAGAGCUGCGCAGGAUCCAGAGUACGGCCAGACACGUGAAACCUGGUCGGAAUACGGGGGGACCACCCUCCAACCCUAAAUACUACCCAGUGACCGAUAGCGUAUAGUACUGUGAAGGAAAGGUGAAAAGCACCCCGGGAGGGGAGUGAAAAAGAACCUGAAACCCUGUGCCUACAAGCACCUAGAGCGCGUCAAUGCGUGAUAGGGUACUUUUUGUAGAACGGUCCGGCGAGCGAUUGUAUGCAGCAAGGUUAAGGACUUAAGGUCUGGAGCCGAAGCGAAAGCGAGUUUGAAAAGGGCGUUAAGUUGCAUAUAAUGGGCCCGAAACCGGGUGACCUACCCAUGGUCAGGUUGAAGUGGAAGUAAAAUUCCAUGGAGGACCGAACCGACCUCCGUUGAAAAGGCGGCGGAUGAACUGUGGGUAGCGGAGAAAUUCCAAUCGAACCCGGAGAUAGCUGGUUCUCCCCGAAAUAGUUUUAGGACUAGCCUCAAGUUAGAUACCUGGAGGUAAAGCACUGAAUAGCCUAGCGGCCGAGAGGUUAGCGAAGCUUAUCAAACUCAGAAUGCCAGAGUAUUGAUGCUUGGGAGUCAGACAGUGUCAGAUAAAUGUCAUUGUCAAAAGGGAAACAGCCCAGAUCUACAGCUAAGGUCCCAAAGUCAGGUUAAGUGGAAAACGAUGUGAAGAUACGUAGACAACCAGGAUGUUGGCUCAGAAGCAGCCACUCAUUCAAAGAGUGCGUAAUAGCUCACUGGUCGAGCGUCUUUGCGCGGAGAAUUUAACGGGGCUAAACCUGACACCGAAGCUUAGGCAAUACAGCAAUGUAUUGGGUAGGGGAGCGUUGUAUACGCGGUGAAACAGUAGCGCAAGCGGCUGUGGAGUGUAUAGAAGUGAGAAUGCCGGAAUGAGUAGCGCGAAUGCAGUGAGAAUCUGCAUGGCCGAAAGCCUCAGGUUUCUGGAGGAAGGUUCGUCCGCUCCAGGUUAGUCGGGAGCUAAGGUGAGGCCUAACGGCGUAGCCGAUGCACAGACGGUAGAGAUUCCGUCACCACCAAAAGAGUUAAACACAGGGACACAUAUGAAGUCUCGGAGCCGGGUGUUGGUUCCGGUAGCGAUCGAGGGAAGUUAGUACCGAAGUCCGGGAUGGAAGAUGGCGAGAAAAGCUGUGUGUAUUUCUGCGGUGCCCGUACCGCAAACCGACACAGGUAGGUAGGAAGAAGAUUCUAAGGCCAACGGGAGAAGGGUUGUUAAGGAACUCGGCAAAUUGACCCCGUAACUUCGGGAGAAGGGGUGCUGCAGCAAUGCAGCCGCAGAGAAUCGGCCCAAGCAACUGUUUACCAAAAACACAGGUUUGUGCUAAAUCGAAAGAUGACGUAUACGAGCUGACGCCUGCCCGGUGCUGGAAGGUUAAGAGGAGAUGUGCAAGCAUUGAAUCGAAGCCCCAGUGAACGGCGGCCGUAACUAUAACGGUCCUAAGGUAGCGAAAUUCCUUGUCAGGUAAGUUCUGACCCGCAUGAAAGGCGUAAUGAUUUGGGCACUGUCUCAACAGCCCGCCCGGCGAAAUUGUAGUACCGGUGAAGAUGCCGGUUACCCGCGACAAGACGGAAAGACCCCAUGGAGCUUUACUGUAGCCUAAUAUUGGGUUUCGAUGUUGCAUGCACAGGAUAGAUGGGACACUGGGAAGCAGGUGCUUUGGCGCUUGUGGAGUGGCCGUUGGGAUACCAUCCUUGCGAUAUUGGAAUUCUAACCUGCGCCUUUGAAUCAAGGCGGGGGACAUUGUUAGGUGGGCAGUUUGACUGGGGCGGUCGCCUCCUAAAGAGUAACGGAGGCGUUCAAAGGUUCGCUCAGCUUGAACGGAAAUCAAGCAAAAGAGUGCAAACGCAGAAGCGAGCCUAACUGCGAGACUGACGGGUCGAGCAGUAACGAAAGUUGGAGUUAGUGAUCCGGUGGUAUGUGAGUGGAAAUGCCAUCGCUCAACGGAUAAAAGUUACCCUGGGGAUAACAGGCUGAUCUCCCCCAAGAGUCCACAUCGACGGGGAGGUUUGGCACCUCGAUGUCGGCUCAUCGCAUCCUGGGGCUGUAUUCGGUCCCAAGGGUUUGGCUGUUCGCCAAUUAAAGCGGUACGCGAGCUGGGUUCAGAACGUCGUGAGACAGUUCGGUCCCUAUCUGUCGUGGGCGCAGGAUAUUUGAUGGGAGCUGUUCCUAGUACGAGAGGACCGGAGCGGACGUACCUCUGGCGCACCAGUUGUUCUGCCAAGAGCAUAGCUGGGCAACUAUGUACGGAUCGGAUAAACGCUGAAAGCAUCUAAGCGUGAAGCCGACCCAAAGAUAAGAUAUCCCAUUGUUUCAAACAAGUAAGACCCCUUGAAGACUACAAGGUUGAUAGGCACGAUGUGUAAGUGGAGUGAUCCAUUCAGCAAGCGUGUACUAAUAGGUCGAGGGCUUGACCAC
Molecule: ribosomal RNA, 2833 nt
Filed under: human gut metagenome
Description: bacterial LSU rRNA
Rfam family: Bacterial large subunit ribosomal RNA
Source: RNAcentral